RNAcentral lists this unclassified non-coding RNA (439 nucleotides) under Hevea brasiliensis (rubber tree). The record is from RNAcentral. Lineage: Eukaryota; Viridiplantae; Streptophyta; Magnoliopsida; Malpighiales; Euphorbiaceae.
UCAAGAACUGUCUCCCGCACUCAUUCCAGUUUUUCAAUGUACUCAAAAUCUAGAAUUGUAUGAACAUCCCUCAACCGUUUUAAUGGGCCAAAUAGUUUUGUUUUUAGGUUGGGCUGCUGUUAAUUCCAGGGCAAUACGCUAGGAAUUUUAAUGUGUUCAUGGUGGAAUUGAAAUGAGUCUUAUUCCUUUUUCUGUAUAUUAAAAUACAAUAUUAAAUGGUUACUAAAACUUUUUUCACUCCUUUCUUUGUUGGUACUCUGUGAGUCUUAUUAGGCUACAGAAUAAAGGCAGUCAACACUAAAAAUCAUUACACUUCUUCUAGUAGGCCUUGAACUCGAGACAUUCAAAUUAGAAUUUACUACUUAAAACGAUUUGAGAAUUUGAAUAUGGGCAGCUUUGCCGAGGUGAUCAAUCAUUUGUUGAUUUCCUCUUUUCCCUG